UGAUGAUGGUACGGGCAAAUUUUUGAGCAUACCCUUAAAUCUCUCCCAAGCUUUGUAGAUAUUCUCUCCUUUUUUCUGUCUGAAACUCAAGAUCUCACUCCUCAAGCG
Molecule: non-coding RNA, 108 nt
Organism: Capsicum annuum
Lineage: Eukaryota; Viridiplantae; Streptophyta; Magnoliopsida; Solanales; Solanaceae
Source: Rfam